This is a long non-coding RNA of Brassica rapa (field mustard), 738 nucleotides long. RefSeq lists it as uncharacterized. The record is from RefSeq and is a predicted model, not a curated record. NCBI's taxonomy places the organism in Eukaryota, Viridiplantae, Streptophyta, Magnoliopsida, Brassicales, Brassicaceae.
GUUAAAAUCAAGUUAGGGAUUAAUUAGAAAUGAAGCUUUGUUUGUCGGGUCUCUCUCUCGACAUUGACGAAACCAAAGUCGGAGCAAUCUCCCAUGGAGAGUAGCCGUCGCCCGUAUCCACUCCAACAACAUAUCCUCCGUCACAGCCGGCUUCGAUUUCGCCACCUACUCGUCAAGUCGCCAUCGUCCUUGUUGUGUAAACCCUAGGUCUUUGAUUUUAGAUCGACGAAAUUGAAACUAUCGAAUGGAAAUGCUUCGCAAUAUUGUUCCAUAUAUCCGACCAGAUGUUUCAGAACUGGAGACAAAACUCUCAAGAUUCUCUCUAAUCCUCAGCAAAAAGUCGAUGACUUGGCAGCAAAGUCCCUAGGUAACUUAAAGAACCUAAGAGACUCACAUGCUGCACUUUCGGUUGGAAUAUCAGGAACAGUAGCUGGAGAGCCAUCUUCUGUAACUAGAUAGUAUCUGAGUGUCAAGCCGCAUUAACUGUUCUCAAUCAAAACCUUGGAAUCCUCUUGGCUUCUAUAGCUCGUGAGCUAGGGGAGCGCGGAGCGCAUGCAACUGUCACGAUGAUCUACUUGAUAUUAGGUUAUGUUCAUCAGUAGUCCUACUGUUUAGCUAUUAGAAUUCAUUUUCUGGGCUUUGUUAUGGUGAUGUAAUCGUUUGAACUCUUUUUUUUUAUCGUUUGAACUCUUUAUCUUGUGUGUUGCCAUCUACUCAAUAUAAAAGCAAAGUUUCUCA